Molecule: long non-coding RNA, 3740 nt
Organism: Diachasmimorpha longicaudata
Lineage: Eukaryota; Metazoa; Arthropoda; Insecta; Hymenoptera; Braconidae
Exons: 3
Source: RefSeq, a predicted model, not a curated record
CAGCUGGAUAACUGCGGAAAUCAGAGACCGGAUGACCUUGAACGGUUCAACUUCACGUUAUGUCCAAACGAUCCCCUUCUCCAGAGCCAUCAACGAAUGCCCCCCCCCUGUAUAGAGCGCCGCGAACGCCGUUUCGAGGUACCUGCAGUGUUUUGAAAAAAUAGAGCUAAAGCAAGUAAGAGGCCCAUGCUCCUGUUAUCGAUAAUAAAGGUGAAGUGGCGGGUAAUCGCUAUUUUUAUUUGAUUGUAUUCGUUGAUUAGGGCAUUAGAUAAACGAGCAAACAUUUACAUGCGUCAUCUACAGAUGAUUUUCUACAAAACUAACUAUGGUUCAAUUAAACAAGUUCAUUUUAUAUUUUUUCUCCAGCCAACAUCAUUCGCAAAAUUAUAAUGAUUAUUAACGAUCCACUGCAAUUAUCUACAUCAGUCAGUUUUUCAAUUUGUAACUCUGCCGGCUAAGUACAUUGUGGAAAAGGAUGAAUCAAUUCGAAAUAAAAGUCAUUAACUAAUUUAUACAAGUCAGAUUUAAUACCAUAAAUUUUCAAAUAAAUGACCUUCUGUUCUUCCAAAAGAACAGAUUAGCGUUUUCUCUGAAUUGUAUUACAAAAACAUUGAACAAAGAGAAUUAAACACAUAUUAUUCUUGCCUGAUUCAUUGAAAAGUGGAUUGAAGACGACGCCGCGAGUUUUUGAUCUGCUCGGGCUUCUAGGAAUGUUCCCUAUUCCUAAACUUCAUUACAGAAACGCUUCAAUUGAGGGAGGUAAAGUUCUUCCACAGUGUCCUUAAAUUCGGAUAUAGGAUACAACCCUCCUGAUGAAGAUUUACCGGGCAGUUCCAGUAGAACAGGUGGAGCGGUCACAGAUGCGCUUUUGUGGCUCAUGUAAUGGUCCUCAAAUGUCUACGAACCUGGAUAUACGACUUCCCGUCAAUUUUGUGCAACUCCAAUAUGACAUGACUACCGUACUGAGGAAUGUGCUCUUCAUCGUAAGCCUUUAGGGCACUCAGAAGUCCGACUAUGUGCAUAUCGUCACCCACGUAGACUCCUAUCCUUUCUGUAUGAUGGAACAUUGGGUGAUCACGCAUUAUGGUUUCUAACAGCAUUCUUGUUCCAAACAAUGAUCUCAUCUCCGGAGUCCAUGUGUGAAGUCCAUAGUUUAAAAGCAUAAGUCGUUUCAGAUCUCCUUCAGGAAAUAUGGCUUGUGUCCACACUUCUGGCAAAUACCGGGUAUUCAUCUGAAAAGUGUGAAAAUAGAUUAAUUACUGGCGAUAAUUAUACACUAUUUAUGAAAUUUCUUUGAAUUUUUAAUGGCUAAUUUUAAUUCAUGUGCAGUAGAUAGAAGAGUUCAAGGAAUGAAGUGAUGAUGCACCAGUUGCGUUGUAAAAAAUGGUAAAAACCACAUCAUGUCAUUAAUAAAGUCUCAAUAAUAGGCCCAAAGGACUUGAUAUGUUGAUAAACAUAAUUUUCUAAGGGAAAAGAUAUAACUAUUUUCGAACCUUCUCACGGAAAUAGGUCCACAGAUUUCUAUAUUGGGCCAAAUUCGUGGCAGUCCCUGCGUAACGAUCUAUUUUUUGGUAAGCUGGAGUCGAGAAGUCAAGACGACUGAAUGCCGAGUUCUCCAGUUUUUUAAAAGACGCCAUGUACCCUGGACAGUUACGCCAAGCAUCGAAGAACAUAUUUGACAAUGUCUCUGAUGCACCGACAUCCACUCCGAUUUCAGGCAUUUUGGUAAGAUCUACGCCACCGCUGACGAAUUUAUCGACGAGCUUCUGGUCCUGCAUGUGUAAUCCUAGUCCCACUAGUUUGGCGGUUUGGACUGCCUUCGUAGCGUUCAUUGCUAUCAAAUUAAGGGUGCUUACGGGCAAGUUAAUCGGUAACGACAAAUUCGUUAUUUGAGGAAUUAAACUGCUAUAGGUUGAACCUAAAACUGCUCCUAAUCUUAGAGCAUGCUGUUUUCCUUCCUGCAAAAAAAACCAGAGCAUUAAAUCAGUUGUGAGGCUUUCGAUCAUGAUUUCUCCAUUCAGUUUAGUUCACUUCGCCCAAACAUUCCCUGGAAUUUUUACUUUGACUUUGUGUCCGUAUGGUGUUCAUGAACCAAUCAGAAAUGAAAAUUAAUAAACUGCGUUAAUCAGUUAUUAUAUUAAUAUCUACAUACGAUUGUCAACUGCUUGGCACCCUCCGGCAAAUUGCUGUGCAAAGUCCGACGCAAAUGUGGAUACUCUUUAUAAAUAUCCAAGUCAGGAUUACUCUCUGUAUGAUGCACUAGAACUAGAACGGAAUCAAGUUCUGCAUUGCAAAAUUUUGAAUGUAAGAUGAAACAAAAUAUUGCCCACACGUAGUUGAACUUCAUCGUAUAAUACUCGGUCUUUGCAGGUAGAACUAAAAUACACUGACUUUCAAACUUGCGAGUAGUUUAAAUAGUCCCUGGUGGGCAUUCGUCAAUAAUACAUGAGUCGACAUGUUAUUAGUGUGUAUUUUAAGAAUUUUUAUAAUCAGUUUACGACUUUAUAAUGGAAAGUGAAUACGUGCCAAGUAACUCAAAAUAUAAGAAUUCAUUCGAUAAUUUUUAUUCAAGUAGUUAAUGUGAAGUUAAUGACCCAUGAGUUUAAUCUCAUUGGUGAGAAAAUAUCAGACGUAAAUUAUUUCCAUUCUUGCUUCUAUUGCAAAACUAAAAAAAUUAAAAUCUUUGAAGUAACUUCCUUAGUUUUCUUCUUUGAAGUAAAUUCUUGAAGCAAUUUUUAAAAAAUUUAAUAUAUGAAGAAGACACAUAUUAUAUUUUAAAAUUUUAUGUCACUCGGUCUUUGUUCUGUUACUUUAAUAUGAUGUUUGAAAUCUUUGAAUUAUGCAGGAAAAAAAUUAUGUCAUUUUUGCAAAGUGCACAGCUCAUAUCGACAAUAUUAUACUUUAAUUUUAUUGCUCCAGGCUCUUUGAUUGUUUACCCUGUUAAGCACCGAGAGCUGGAGGCCAUGACAGCUACAGUCCUCAUCCAGGUUAAGUGAUAAUCAGUUUGAUCAUGAUUAGCUAAAGUGUCCGCUUAUUAUUUUUAUAAAUGAGAAAAAAAGGUUCACCCCAUCAAUUACAAAAUCAUUACUAAGAUAAAUGGAUUCUUUAAAUAGCUCUUUUAUUAGACAACCUAUGACCUCAUCAUCCUCUUUAUAAGAAUUAAUACAUAAUUAAAUAGUAACAAUCGCUCACAAGUUCCCUAUUUUUUUUGCAAUAGCCCUUGUACUAGUCUUUCUCUUCCUAUCACACUACGUCAGUAGCAAACUGGUAAUUUGACAUUUGUGGUACUCAUGCUGUUAUCUCAAGAAUAAGUGACUCUAGGACUUCCAUUGACAUUUUCCUCUGAAAUCAUCUAUCGACAUUCUAAUUAUAUAGUUAACCAGAUGUGAAGAAUUAAUUACUUCUAUGUUAAAUUUUCUAUAUUUCUUCAAAAAUAAUAUUCUUCUGAGGAUAAUAAAUUGCAGGAGAUAAUGUUAGGAAGUAUUUUUCAAAGGACAAUAAAUUAACCCGAAAAAGUCUUCGUUUACUGUGCUCCGAAGCUGCUCAUCAAUCAGAUGAUUUCUUAUUUAUCAAAAAAAAAAAAAUCAUACUCUUCUUUUAUAUCUUUGUUAACUACUAUUUUUGCUCCUCAACUGCUGUUUUCAUGUGAAAAUGUCAAUACAUUUUUUUUAAAGAAUCAACUCUUUUCCGUUGGACCCACCCCUUACGAUUCCACAAAAAAUUAAAAAAACUUUGAAAAA